This 1088-nucleotide ribosomal RNA is filed under the name Microbacterium sp. MRSA84B1_13_2E. Its description in RNAcentral is "bacterial SSU rRNA". It matches the Rfam family "Bacterial small subunit ribosomal RNA", at positions 56 to 1151 of the family's 1533-position model. Lineage: Bacteria; Bacillati; Actinomycetota; Actinomycetes; Micrococcales; Microbacteriaceae. The record is from RNAcentral.
UGCAAGUCGAACGAUGAAGCCCCAGCUUGCUGGGGUGGAUUAGUGGCGAACGGGUGAGUAACACGUGAGCAACCUGCCCCUGACUCUGGGAUAAGCGCUGGAAACGGCGUCUAAUACCGGAUAUGCACUGUAGCCGCAUGGUUUGCAGUGGGAAAGAUUUAUCGGUUGGGGAUGGGCUCGCGGCCUAUCAGCUUGUUGGUGAGGUAAUGGCUCACCAAGGCGUCGACGGGUAGCCGGCCUGAGAGGGUGACCGGCCACACUGGGACUGAGACACGGCCCAGACUCCUACGGGAGGCAGCAGUGGGGAAUAUUGCACAAUGGGCGCAAGCCUGAUGCAGCAACGCCGCGUGAGGGAUGACGGCCUUCGGGUUGUAAACCUCUUUUAGCAGGGAAGAAGCCUUCGGGUGACGGUACCUGCAGAAAAAGCGCCGGCUAACUACGUGCCAGCAGCCGCGGUAAUACGUAGGGCGCAAGCGUUAUCCGGAAUUAUUGGGCGUAAAGAGCUCGUAGGCGGUUUGUCGCGUCUGCUGUGAAAACUGGAGGCUCAACCUCCAGCCUGCAGUGGGUACGGGCAGACUAGAGUGCGGUAGGGGAGAUUGGAAUUCCUGGUGUAGCGGUGGAAUGCGCAGAUAUCAGGAGGAACACCGAUGGCGAAGGCAGAUCUCUGGGCCGUUACUGACGCUGAGGAGCGAAAGGGUGGGGAGCAAACAGGCUUAGAUACCCUGGUAGUCCACCCCGUAAACGUUGGGAACUAGUUGUGGGGGCCUUUCCACGGUCUCUGUGACGCAGCUAACGCAUUAAGUUCCCCGCCUGGGGAGUACGGCCGCAAGGCUAAAACUCAAAGGAAUUGACGGGGACCCGCACAAGCGGCGGAGCAUGCGGAUUAAUUCGAUGCAACGCGAAGAACCUUACCAAGGCUUGACAUAUACGAGAACGCUGCAGAAAUGUAGAACUCUUUGGACACUCGUAUACAGGUGGUGCAUGGUUGUCGUCAGCUCGUGUCGUGAGAUGUUGGGUUAAGUCCCGCAACGAGCGCAACCCUCGUUCUCUGUUGCCAGCACGUUAUGGUGGGAACUCAGGGGAUACUG